AUUGAACGCUGGCGGCAGGCCUAACACAUGCAAGUCGAACGAGUGGCGGACGGGUUAGUAAUGUCUGGGAAACUGCCCGAUGGAUGGGGAUAACUACUGGAAACUGUAGCUAAUUCCGCAUUCCAUCACAGGUGCCCAGAUGGGAUUAGCUUGUGGGUGGGGAAACGGCUCACCAAGGCGACGAUCCCUAGCUGGUCUGAGAGGAUGACCAGCCACACUGGAACUGAGACACGGUCCAGACUCCUACGGGAGGCAGCAGUGGGGAAUAUUGCACAAUGGGCGCAAGCCUGAUGCAGCCAUGCCGCGUGUAUGAAGAAGGCCUUCGGGUUGUAAAGUACUUUCAGCGGGGAAGCGGUACCCGCAGAAGAAGCACCGGCUAACUACGUGCCAGCAGCCGCGGUAAUUC
This 406-nucleotide ribosomal RNA is filed under the name uncultured bacterium. Its description in RNAcentral is "partial 16S ribosomal RNA". It matches the Rfam family "Bacterial small subunit ribosomal RNA", at positions 30 to 526 of the family's 1533-position model. The record is from RNAcentral.